RNAcentral lists this ribosomal RNA (1213 nucleotides) under Gammaproteobacteria bacterium. Its description in RNAcentral is "bacterial SSU rRNA". It matches the Rfam family "Bacterial small subunit ribosomal RNA", at positions 1 to 1192 of the family's 1533-position model. The record is from RNAcentral. RNAcentral also lists the same sequence under 2 other names. Lineage: Bacteria; Pseudomonadati; Pseudomonadota; Gammaproteobacteria.
AAAGUGAAGGGUUUGAUCCUGGCUCAGAACGAACGCUGGCGGCGUGGCUAAGGCAUGCAAGUCGAACGGACUAUUCAAUUGAGUAAUCGAGCGAAUAGUUAGUGGCGAAAGGGUGAGUAACGGAUAGGUAACGUACCCCGUGCUCCGGAAUAGCGUCGGUUGCUUCGGCAACCUUCCGAAAGGGGCGGUAAUACCGGAUAAUAUCAUCUGUCGAUAGGCUGAUGAUCAAAGAUUUAUCGGCGUGGGAGCGGCCUAUCUCCUAUCAGCUUGUUGGUGAGGUAAUGGCUCACCAAGGCUAUGACGGGUAGCGGGACUGAGAGGUUGGCCCGCCACAUCGGGACUGAGACACUGCCCGGACCUCCACGGAGGGCUGCAGUAACGAAUAUUGCGCAAUGGGCGAAAGCCUGACGCAGCGACGCCGCGUGUAGGAGGAAGUCCCUCGGGAUGUAAACUACUGUCAGGGGGAAGAAAGUGCGCUUCGGCGCAUUGAUCUAACCCAGAGGAAGUCACGGCUAACUUCGUGCCAGCAGCCGCGGUAAGACGAAGGUGGCAAGCGUUGUUCGGUAUUACUGGGCUUAAAGCGUGUGUAGGCGGAAAAGUAAGCGUCUUGUGAAAUCCCCCGGCUUAACCGGGGAAUUGCUUGACGAACUGCUUUUCUUGAGGCAAGUAGGGGUGCAUGGAACUCUUGGUGGAGCGGUGAAAUGCGUAGAUAUCAAGAGGAACGCCGGUGGAGAAAUCGGUGCACUGGGCUUGUCCUGACGCUGAGACACGAAAGCGUGGGGAGCGAACGGGAUUAGAUACCCCGGUAGUCCACGCCGUAAACGAUGUCUACUAGGUUGUGGAGGUUCUGACACCAGCACGGCCGAAGCAAAAGUGUUAAGUGCACCGCCUGGGGAGUACGGUCGCAAGGCUAAAACUCAAAGGAAUUGACGGGGGCUCACACAAGCGGUGGAGCAUGUGGCUUAAUUCGAAGCAACGCGAAGAACCUUACCUGGGUUUGACAUGCACGGAUUAGCUCCCUGAAAGGGGAGUGACGCCUUCGGGUGGAACGUGCACAGGUGCUGCAUGGCUGUCGUCAGCUCGUGCCGUGAGGUGUCGGGUUAAGUCCCUUAACGAGCGAAACCCCUGUCGCUAGUUGCCAGCGCGUAAUGCCGGGGACUCUAGCGAGACUGCCGGUGUCAAACCGGAGGAAGGUGGGGAUGACGUCAAGUCC